Chelonoidis abingdonii (Abingdon island giant tortoise) is the source of this 232-nucleotide non-coding RNA. The record is from RefSeq and is a predicted model, not a curated record. NCBI's taxonomy places the organism in Eukaryota, Metazoa, Chordata, Testudines, Testudinidae.
UGUCAUCCAGAAGCACAGCACAAGUUUGAAAUACAGACAGGAUAGAGCCAAUACUUUUAACUUUAAAUACAAAACUAAUACAUGCACCCAGACAGCAUAACCAUAACCAGCCAAUCAUAACCUUGUCUGAGACACCUUAUUAGACCCCCUUUAUACAAGAUUUGGUGCCACUGCAGGACCUUGGUUGCAACAGGGAUCUAUACGGUCCCAGUUCAUGUCAAUGUAACACAUU